RNAcentral lists this ribosomal RNA (267 nucleotides) under uncultured bacterium. RNAcentral describes it as "partial 16S ribosomal RNA". It matches the Rfam family "Bacterial small subunit ribosomal RNA", at positions 355 to 638 of the family's 1533-position model. The record is from RNAcentral.
UAGGGAAUAUUGGUGAAUGGGCGAAAGCCUGAACCAGCAACGCCGCGUGUGCGAAGAAGGCCUUCGGGUCGUAAAGCACUUUUUGCCGGGAAGAGGAAGGACGGUACCGGCAGAAUAAGCCUCGGCUAACUACGUGCCAGCAGCCGCGGUAAGACGUAGGAGGCGAGCGUUAUCCGGAUUUAUUGGGCGUAAAGCGCGUGCAGGCGGUUCUGUAAGUUGGGUAUGAAAUCUCCUGGCUUAACUGGGAGAGGCUACACAAAACUGCAG